CUGCGCGCAGGACGCGCCGCGGCUCUCCAUGCGCUCCAACCCGGAACGGAGCUCCGGACCAACCGGAGCCAGAUGUUGGUGAGGACGCGGCGCGGCGCGGACCGGACCUUUUACAUCAACAGGUCGACGCGCUGGAGAGAGGGGAAAGCGUUUCCUCAUCCACCUGCACACUGUGAGUAACUGUUA
Poeciliopsis prolifica (blackstripe livebearer) is the source of this 186-nucleotide long non-coding RNA. RefSeq lists it as uncharacterized. Lineage: Eukaryota; Metazoa; Chordata; Actinopteri; Cyprinodontiformes; Poeciliidae. The transcript is spliced from 3 exons. The record is from RefSeq and is a predicted model, not a curated record.